Long non-coding RNA from Camelus dromedarius (Arabian camel), 405 nucleotides. RefSeq lists it as uncharacterized. Lineage: Eukaryota; Metazoa; Chordata; Mammalia; Artiodactyla; Camelidae. The transcript has 3 exons. The record is from RefSeq and is a predicted model, not a curated record.
UUCCACCGAGACUGAGGCGGUCUGACGAGAAGAGCGGGUCCUGCCUUCAGAUGUUUGGGACUCAGCUGAGGGUGUAGGUCCCCGCGGUGGGGGCUGGGCCGCCCUGGGAUGUGAGGAGACAAAGGGAUCCAUAUCCAAGUCUCCGUUUCCUGCUUUGAGACUCGGUGCCUCGGCUGUCUCGUAGUGGAACAUCAGAGAAGGGUAUGGACUCUGAGCCCCAGAAGCUGGAGCUGAUAGAAAAGAACCAAGUGUGAUGUUGAGUCUGCCAGACAGGUUCCUGAAGCAAGUGAAGAGAUCGAGCCCCAUCACUGGGACACUUCAGUUAAUUUUGGUGUUGGGCAUACGUGAGGGGAGCAAAUGUCAAGAUCUGCGCUGGAAUCCUUCAAGGUAAUUUCUUAACCUAUU